Molecule: non-coding RNA, 455 nt
Organism: Lepisosteus oculatus (spotted gar)
Lineage: Eukaryota; Metazoa; Chordata; Actinopteri; Semionotiformes; Lepisosteidae
Source: RefSeq, a predicted model, not a curated record
ACCCGUGUGAACAUGGGGAGAACAUACAAAAUGUAUGAAGACAGCAUGCCAGGAACUGAACCCAGGACCCCAGCGCUAUGAGGCAGCAUAAACGGAUAAAUGUGAUAAUAACUAACCUCUACUUGAGAUUAAUUUCAAGUGAGCAACAAACAGAUGACUCCGAACUUGAAGUUAUUGCUGAUGACGUGCUCAUCAAAGGUGACGACGAGACGUGAGGCCUGUGCCGGAGAACAGAGGGUUAAUUAGGGAGCAUCAGGCUGAGCUGUGGAUUUCUAGGUCUCUCUAAGCCAUCAGUAGCUGAAGACCUUAGACGUGAUAAGAAUGACCUCAGUUAGGUAAAAAUGGAAUAAAAGACCUAUGAAGUGAUCCACUCCAGGCCUUGGGUUGCGCACCACUGAUGGAAAUUGAUGUUGAGUGAGUGCUUUAGGAGCACGGCUCACAGCGAGAUAACAGAA